This 2913-nucleotide ribosomal RNA is filed under the name Enterococcus faecalis. Its description in RNAcentral is "23S ribosomal RNA". It matches the Rfam family "Bacterial large subunit ribosomal RNA". The record is from RNAcentral. Lineage: Bacteria; Bacillati; Bacillota; Bacilli; Lactobacillales; Enterococcaceae.
GGUUAAGUGAAUAAGGGCGCACGGUGGAUGCCUUGGCACUAGGAGCCGAUGAAGGACGGGACUAACACCGAUAUGCUUUGGGGAGCUGUAAGUAAGCUAUGAUCCAGAGAUUUCCGAAUGGGGGAACCCAAUAUCUUUUAUAGGAUAUUACUUUUCAGUGAAUACAUAGCUGAUUAGAGGUAGACGCAGAGAACUGAAACAUCUUAGUACCUGCAGGAAGAGAAAGAAAAUUCGAUUCCCUGAGUAGCGGCGAGCGAAACGGGAAGAGCCCAAACCAACAAGCUUGCUUGUUGGGGUUGUAGGACUCCAAUAUGGUAGUCUGUUAGUAUAGUUGAAGGAUUUGGAAAAUUCCGCUAAAGAGGGUGAAAGCCCCGUAGACGAAAUGCUAACAACACCUAGGAGGAUCCUGAGUACGGCGGAACACGAGAAAUUCCGUCGGAAUCCGCGGGGACCAUCCCGCAAGGCUAAAUACUCCCUAGUGACCGAUAGUGAACCAGUACCGUGAGGGAAAGGUGAAAAGCACCCCGGAAGGGGAGUGAAAUAGAUCCUGAAACCGUGUGCCUACAACAAGUCAAAGCUCGUUAAUGAGUGAUGGCGUGCCUUUUGUAGAAUGAACCGGCGAGUUACGAUUGCAUGCGAGGUUAAGUCGAAGAGACGGAGCCGCAGCGAAAGCGAGUCUGAAUAGGGCGAAUGAGUAUGUAGUCGUAGACCCGAAACCAUGUGAUCUACCCAUGUCCAGGUUGAAGGUGCGGUAAAACGCACUGGAGGACCGAACCCACGUACGUUGAAAAGUGCGGGGAUGAGGUGUGGGUAGCGGAGAAAUUCCAAACGAACUUGGAGAUAGCUGGUUCUCUCCGAAAUAGCUUUAGGGCUAGCCUCGGAAUUGAGAAUGAUGGAGGUAGAGCACUGUUUGGACUAGGGGCCCAUCUCGGGUUACCGAAUUCAGAUAAACUCCGAAUGCCAUUCAUUUAUAUCCGGGAGUCAGACUGCGAGUGAUAAGAUCCGUAGUCGAAAGGGAAACAGCCCAGACCACCAGCUAAGGUCCCAAAAUAUAUGUUAAGUGGAAAAGGAUGUGGGGUUGCACAGACAACUAGGAUGUUGGCUUAGAAGCAGCCACCAUUUAAAGAGUGCGUAAUAGCUCACUAGUCGAGUGACCCUGCGCCGAAAAUGUACCGGGGCUAAACAUAUUACCGAAGCUGUGGACUACACCAUUAGGUGUAGUGGUAGGAGAGCGUUCUAAGGGCGUUGAAGGUCGAUCGUGAGGACGGCUGGAGCGCUUAGAAGUGAGAAUGCCGGUAUGAGUAGCGAAAGACAGGUGAGAAUCCUGUCCACCGUAUGACUAAGGUUUCCUGGGGAAGGCUCGUCCGCCCAGGGUUAGUCGGGACCUAAGCCGAGGCCGAUAGGCGUAGGCGAUGGACAACAGGUUGAUAUUCCUGUACCAGUUGUUUUUGUUUGAGCAAUGGAGGGACGCAGUAGGCUAAGGAAUGCAUGCGAUUGGAAGUGCAUGUCCAAGCAAUGAGUCUUGAGUAGAGUUAAAUGCUUUACUCUCUAAGGACAAGUUGUGACGGGGAGCGAAAUAAUAGUAGCGAAGUUCCUGAUGUCACACUGCCAAGAAAAGCUUCUAGUGAGAAAACAACUGCCCGUACCGUAAACCGACACAGGUAGUCGAGGAGAGUAUCCUAAGGUGAGCGAGCGAACUCUCGUUAAGGAACUCGGCAAAAUGACCCCGUAACUUCGGGAGAAGGGGUGCUGACUUCGGUCAGCCGCAGUGAAUACGCCCAAGCGACUGUUUAUCAAAAACACAGGUCUCUGCAAAAUCGUAAGAUGAAGUAUAGGGGCUGACGCCUGCCCGGUGCUGGAAGGUUAAGAGGAUGGGUUAGCUUCGGCGAAGCUCAGAAUUGAAGCCCCAGUAAACGGCUGCCGUAACUAUAACGGUCCUAAGGUAGCGAAAUUCCUUGUCGGGUAAGUUCCGACCCGCACGAAAGGCGUAACGAUUUGGGCACUGUCUCAACGAGAGACUCGGUGAAAUUUUAGUACCUGUGAAGAUGCAGGUUACCCGCGACAGGACGGAAAGACCCCAUGGAGCUUUACUGUAGUUUGAUAUUGAGUGUUUGUACCACAUGUACAGGAUAGGUAGGAGCCGAUGAGACCGGAACGCUAGUUUCGGAGGAGGCGCUGGUGGGAUACUACCCUUGUGUUAUGAACCCUCUAACCCGCACCACUAAUCGUGGUGGGAGACAGUGUCAGAUGGGCAGUUUGACUGGGGCGGUCGCCUCCUAAAAGGUAACGGAGGCGCCCAAAGGUUCCCUCAGAAUGGUUGGAAAUCAUUCGAAGAGUGUAAAGGCAGAAGGGAGCUUGACUGCGAGACCUACAAGUCGAGCAGGGACGAAAGUCGGGCUUAGUGAUCCGGUGGUUCCGCAUGGAAGGGCCAUCGCUCAACGGAUAAAAGCUACCCUGGGGAUAACAGGCUUAUCUCCCCCAAGAGUCCACAUCGACGGGGAGGUUUGGCACCUCGAUGUCGGCUCGUCGCAUCCUGGGGCUGUAGUCGGUCCCAAGGGUUGGGCUGUUCGCCCAUUAAAGCGGCACGCGAGCUGGGUUCAGAACGUCGUGAGACAGUUCGGUCCCUAUCCGUCGCGGGCGUUGGAAAUUUGAGAGGAGCUGUCCUUAGUACGAGAGGACCGGGAUGGACUUACCGCUGGUGUACCAGUUGUUCUGCCAAGGGCAUUGCUGGGUAGCUAUGUAGGGAAGGGAUAAACGCUGAAAGCAUCUAAGUGUGAAGCCCACCUCAAGAUGAGAUUUCCCAUUUCUUUAAGAAAGUAAGACCCCUGAGAGAUGAUCAGGUAGAUAGGUUGGAAGUGGAAGGCUAGUGAUAGUUGGAGCGGACCAAUACUAAUCGGUCGAGGACUUAACCAA